UGCUCCCCAGUCGGCGCAGCAGCCCCUCUCAGGCUGGGUUCUUCAGCUUUCCAUCUGUCUGUGAGCUGCCCCCAACCCUUCUUGCAAAUUCCUUUCUUGGUUUUAUGCCAGCUGAUGUUAGUUUCCAUUGCUUGCAAACACCUGAAUGGCUGCUCUGUCUGUGACCUGGUCCCUAGAUGAGGCGCCAAGGGAAGGAAUGUAACAGAUGUUGGCCAAGAGGGUUUCCCAGGAAGGGCUGCCUCCAAAAUAGGAACGAAAGAAAAACUGUGUCAUGUUCUGGGUUUCUACAAUAACAGCUAUCAAUAUUCAAGCUGCUUCCGGAUGAUUUAACAUGAAAGAGCAGCCCUCGAAGGCAGAGACCUGCCUCUUGUGAGCAGCAUUUUAAGAGGAUGAAAAGCAUCCGAGAGCCUGAGUGACAUGAGGGGCCCUGGGCCGCGCUGCUCAAGCGGCAGCAAGAGAAAUGUGGGAAAUAUAAAAAGCAGCAAAUUCUUCUCUGUGGGGUCCUGGGCCAGAUCUUCUGUAGGCACUCGGCGCAUUGGAGACCCAGGAACCUUUCUGGGGUUUAGAUUUUGUGUCCGGCAGGUCGAUGCCCACUUGGUGACUGCAGGAGGGACCCAGGAUGGAGGAGACCGGGCUGCAGACUCCAUUCCCUCUUUGGUUGGAUGCACUUGGUUGCCACCAGUUCCAGUGACAGCUUCAGGGCCCAUUCCAACUGCUUCUUACUAGUGAAUGUCAGCUCUGUAAAAGCAAGGACUUUCCUUUGAUCACUUCAU
This 773-nucleotide long non-coding RNA is filed under the name Equus asinus (donkey). RNAcentral's name for it is "lncRNA (ENSEASG00005026600.1)". Lineage: Eukaryota; Metazoa; Chordata; Mammalia; Perissodactyla; Equidae. The record is from RNAcentral.